GAUGAACGCUAGCGGCAGGCUUAACACAUGCAAGUCGAACGGUAACAUUGGUGCUUGCGCCAGAUGACGAGUGGCGCACGGGUGCGUAACGCGUAUGCAAUCUACCUUUUACUGGAGAAUAGCCCAGAGAAAUUUGGAAUAAUCCUCCAUAAUAUCAUGUAUCAGCAUUGAUUUAUGAUUAAAGCUCCGGCGGUAAAAGAUGAGCAUGCGUUCUAUUAGCUAGUAGGUGAGGUAACGGCUCACCUAGGCAACGAUAGAUAGGGGCCCUGAGAGGGGGAUCCCCCACACUGGUACUGAGACACGGACCAGACUCCUACGGGAGGCAGCAGUGAGGAAUAUUGGACAAUGGAGGCAACUCUGAUCCAGCCAUGCCGCGUGCAGGAUGACUGCCCUAUGGGUUGUAAACUGCUUUUAUAUAGGAAGAAACACUCCCACGUGUGGGGGCUUGACGGUACUAUAUGAAUAAGGAUCGGCUAACUCCG
This 482-nucleotide ribosomal RNA is filed under the name uncultured Flavobacteriaceae bacterium. Its description in RNAcentral is "bacterial SSU rRNA". It matches the Rfam family "Bacterial small subunit ribosomal RNA", at positions 28 to 505 of the family's 1533-position model. The record is from RNAcentral. Lineage: Bacteria; Pseudomonadati; Bacteroidota; Flavobacteriia; Flavobacteriales; Flavobacteriaceae.